Molecule: ribosomal RNA, 330 nt
Filed under: uncultured Azospirillum sp.
Lineage: Bacteria; Pseudomonadati; Pseudomonadota; Alphaproteobacteria; Rhodospirillales; Azospirillaceae
Description: bacterial SSU rRNA
Rfam family: Bacterial small subunit ribosomal RNA
Source: RNAcentral
CGCGUAGGCGGUCUUGUAAGUCAGAUGUGAAAGCCCCGGGCUCAACCCGGGAAUAGCAUUUGAUACUGCGAGGCUUGAGUCCGGGAGAGGAUGGCGGAAUUCCCAGUGUAGAGGUGAAAUUCGUAGAUAUUGGGAAGAACACCGGUGGCGAAGGCGGCCAUCUGGACCGGUACUGACGCUGAGGCGCGAAAGCGUGGGGAGCAAACAGGAUUAGAUACCCUGGUAGUCCACGCCGUAAACGAUGAGUGCUAGACGCUGGGGGGUUAACCCUUCGGUGUCGCAGCUAACGCAUUAAGCACUCCGCCUGGGGAGUACGGCCGCAAGGUUGAA